RNAcentral lists this ribosomal RNA (600 nucleotides) under Pecten maximus. RNAcentral's name for it is "partial 16S ribosomal RNA". It matches the Rfam family "Bacterial large subunit ribosomal RNA", at positions 1797 to 2619 of the family's 2925-position model. The record is from RNAcentral. Lineage: Eukaryota; Metazoa; Mollusca; Bivalvia; Pectinida; Pectinidae.
CGCCUGUUUAUCAAAAACAUGGCUCCCUGAAGCAAUAUGGGGGGUCGGUGCCUUCCCCGGUGAGCUUGCGGGGCUUAAACGGACGCGGUAAAGCGUGCUAAGGUAGCCUAAAUUAUGGGCUAUUAAUUGUAGGUCCUGUGAAUGGUUUGACGAGUUUCCAACUGUCUCUAGUUUUUUUUGGUGAACUUGAAUUGGAUGUGCAAAUGCUUCCAUGGGUAAGAAAGACGAGAAGACCCCGUGAAGUUAGAAAUUUUAAGUUAUUGGGAAGUUCCAAGGCUAUUUGUGGCCGAAUCGUUGAGGAGCACUAGAACUUAGUGUUUCAGAAGGGGUGAAUAAUAGCAGUUUUGAUUGGGGCAGCAAAGGAGCAAAGCUAGACUCCUUUAGGGUGUAAAACAGAUGUGUUACGACCCACAAACAUUAAGGUGUGAUUAUCAGAAGAAGUUACUCCGGGGAUAACAGCGUAAUCUGUCUUGAUAGUUCUUAUAGAUGGGCGGGUUUGCGACCUCGAUGUUGGCUCUGGAUAUCCUAAGGCUUGUAGGCGGUCUUGAGGGUUGGUUCGUUCUAGCCAUAAAAAUCUGACGUGAUCUGAGUUCAGACCGG